This 1541-nucleotide long non-coding RNA is filed under the name Olea europaea subsp. europaea. The record is from RNAcentral. Lineage: Eukaryota; Viridiplantae; Streptophyta; Magnoliopsida; Lamiales; Oleaceae.
GCUUUCCGCUCCGAGGUAAUUUUCAAGAACAACGCGGUCCCAACGGUCAUAAUGGACACGUGUCUCCUUCUGACGUUAGUAUAAAUACGAACGUUAGUUGAUCUUUAAGCAAUUCACACUUGCAUAAAAUCCGCACCUUACCCUCUCCUCUCUCUGAGGAGAGAGAAACCAAGUAACUUUCUCCGUUCGCUAUUUCUCUUCAAUCGAUAUACGCCGGCUCGGCAGAGGUACAUGAAUUGAUUCUUUUUCCGUUUCGUUUUUGGGAAUUUUUUCACCUUCUGAUUUAUAAUUGUUUAGGUUAAUUAAUUUUGUAUCUGAUCAUAUUCGAAUGAAGAUGAAGUGGUGGGGCAAAAUGCAGAGAGUUUGGAUCAAAGUCUCUUACCGUUUCGGUUAUCGCAAAAAUGGUUAGCUUUUUCAAUUUUUUUAAAGUAUACUUUUCAUUUCAUCGCAUCGGAAUUAGUUUGUUGGCUGCUUUCCCCUUUUUUUUCUUCCUUAUAAUUUGAUUCAUAGAAGAUAUGCUUAGUUUAUGAUUUAUUUUGAUUAAACUGUACGAAUGUUAGUUUAUUCCAAAUAUUGUAAUUAAUCAUGUGCGUCUCAUUCUAGAACAAUUAGCGAAUCCAAAUGGAUUAAGUCCAUGUAAUUGUCAAGGAAGGCUGAAUUGAUGGAACCAUGAUAUAUAUUUUAAUCUCAUUGUGUUACACGUACAUCACUACUUACACAUUUACAUAUUUGUUUACGGAUAAUUUGACGAGAUAUAAUUGAAUCAAAAUUUCACCAACCAACUAAAAAAAUAAAAUCCGCCACUCUUUUUUUGACAUCUCACCAAUCUGUGAAGGAAUAUGUAAAUGGUGAUGCGCAACAAGCAUUUUCCAUUUUGAUCACUCAUUCAAAAUUUCUAUUAAGUAAUUGACAGUUAAAUAUUAAUAUAGAGAAACGAUUUUCAUCACAAUUUUUUCAUAUAUUUUGGUAGAUAUAUUCACUUUCUGAGAAAUUUUGACAUUAGACCAACGUAGUAUACCAAACAGAUGAUCUAUGUUGAUUUCAAUGAAUAACCACGUGAAAUUGCUUCAGGGCUAGCAAAGCUCCACCAAGAUGUUAGGACGUGUGAGUAUGAGGAUGUCCACAUCUUGUGGAAUAUGCUGAAUAGAAAUGAGACAGGUCUCAGUAGAAGGAAAAAGAGGUACUUUUGGGACAUCAUUCAAUGGGCUCCAUUCGCUUGCCGUGGUGCUUCUUCUCUUUGAUACUCACAACGUAUUUUUAAAUUCUCGAAAUCAGUCUAUUCAUUAUUUUGUGUUAAGAUGAAGCCCUGAAUUUCAUAUGCUGCUGUUUAUUAUGUAAACCAGUAUAGAUUAUUUUGUUUUUGUUUAUUUAAUGUCAAAUGUAUGGUGGUGGAGUAUUUGCUUCUCUUACUGAAUGCUUCUUGACAUGUAUGGUGAAUACAAACUCUUAUCAGAAGUUGACAUACCUUUAUCAAUAUAAAAUGGUGUGAAAAAUUUUGAUACUUGUAAAUAGAUCGUAUGUAUGUUUUUAAUAACAGGCUG